GAACAGGGUUGAGUAACACGUGGGCAACCUGCCCUGCAGAUCGGGAUAACUCCGGGAAACCGGUGCUAAUACCGAAUAGUUUGCGGCCUCUCAUGAGGCCGCACGGAAAGACGGUUUCGGCUGUCACUGCAGGAUGGGCCCGCGGCGCAUUAGCUAGUUGGUGAGGUAACGGCUCACCAAGGCCACGAUGCGUAGCCGACCUGAGAGGGUGAUCGGCCACACUGGGACUGAGACACGGCCCAGACUCCUACGGGAGGCAGCAGUAGGGAAUCUUCCGCAAUGGACGAAAGUCUGACGGAGCAACGCCGCGUGAGUGAAGAAGGUUUUCGGAUCGUAAAACUCUGUUGUGAGGGAAGAACAAGUACCAAGUAACUACUGGUACCUUGACGGUACCUCACCAGAAAGCCACGGCUAACUACGUGCCAGCAGCCGCGGUAAUACGUAGGUGGCAAGCGUUGUCCGGAAUUAUUGGGCGUAAAGCGCGCGCAGGCGGUCCUUUAAGUCUGAUGUGAAAGCCCACGGCUCAACCGUGGAGGGUCAUUGGAAACUGGGGGACUUGAGUGCAGAAGAGGAAAGUGGAAUUCCACGUGUAGCGGUGAAAUGCGUA
RNAcentral lists this ribosomal RNA (607 nucleotides) under Planococcus rifietoensis. RNAcentral describes it as "bacterial SSU rRNA". It matches the Rfam family "Bacterial small subunit ribosomal RNA", at positions 98 to 692 of the family's 1533-position model. Lineage: Bacteria; Bacillati; Bacillota; Bacilli; Caryophanales; Caryophanaceae. The record is from RNAcentral.